Molecule: ribosomal RNA, 553 nt
Filed under: Haloarcula sp. I.C6
Lineage: Archaea; Methanobacteriati; Methanobacteriota; Halobacteria; Halobacteriales; Haloarculaceae
Description: bacterial SSU rRNA
Rfam family: Archaeal small subunit ribosomal RNA
Source: RNAcentral
UUAGCCAUGCUAGUUGCACGAGUUCAGACUCGUAGCAUAUAGCUCAGUAACACGUGGUCAAACUACCCUACAGACCGCGAUAACCUCGGGAAACUGAGGCCAAUAGCGGAUAUAACUCUCAGGCUGGAGUGCCGAGAGUUAGAAACGUUCCGGCGCUGUAGGAUGUGGCUGCGGCCGAUUAGGUAGAUGGUGGGGUAACGGCCCACCAUGCCGAUAAUCGGUACAGGUUGUGAGAGCAAGAGCCUGGAGACGGUAUCUGAGACAAGAUACCGGGCCCUACGGGGCGCAGCAGGCGCGAAACCUUUACACUGCACGACAGUGCGAUAGGGGGACUCCGAGUGUGAGGGCAUAUAGCCCUCGCUUUUCUGAACCGUAAGGUGGUUCAGGAACAAGGACUGGGCAAGACCGGUGCCAGCCGCCGCGGUAAUACCGGCAGUCCAAGGGAUGGCCGAUAUUAUUGGGCCUAAAGCGUCCGUAGCUUGCUGUGUAAGUCCAUUGGGAAAUCGACCCACUUCAACUGGUCGGCGUCCGGUGGAAACUACACGGUUGGGGC